This is a microRNA precursor of Oryza sativa Indica Group (long-grained rice), 207 nucleotides long. It matches the Rfam family "MIR812 microRNA precursor family". The record is from Rfam. NCBI's taxonomy places the organism in Eukaryota, Viridiplantae, Streptophyta, Magnoliopsida, Poales, Poaceae.
AAAAAGUCAAACCCUAGGUUUCCGUGUCUAAGUUUGAAUGUCCGUCUUAUAUGAAUUUUUUUUAUAAUUCAUAUUUUUAUUGUUGUUAAAUGAUAAAACAUGAUUAAUAUUUUAUGCGUGACUUGUCUUUUUAUUUUUUUCAUAUUUUUUUUAAAUAUAAGACGGACGGUUAAAUGUUGGACAUAGAAAAUCAGGGUUUGUCUUAAA